Molecule: ribosomal RNA, 253 nt
Filed under: uncultured bacterium
Lineage: Bacteria
Description: partial 16S ribosomal RNA
Rfam family: Bacterial small subunit ribosomal RNA
Source: RNAcentral
GACGUAGGGCGCGAGCGUUGUCCGGAUUUAUUGGGCGUAAAGAGCUCGUAGGCGGUCUGUCGCGUCGGCUGUGAAAACCCAGGGCUCAACCCUGGGCCUGCAGUCGAUACGGGCAGACUAGAGUCCGGCAGGGGAGACUGGAAUUCCUGGUGUAGCGGUGAAAUGCGCAGAUAUCAGGAGGAACACCGGUGGCGAAGGCGGGUCUCUGGGCCGGAACUGACGCUGAGGAGCGAAAGCGUGGGGAGCGAACAGG